This 460-nucleotide ribosomal RNA is filed under the name uncultured bacterium. Its description in RNAcentral is "partial 16S ribosomal RNA". It matches the Rfam family "Bacterial small subunit ribosomal RNA", at positions 338 to 795 of the family's 1533-position model. The record is from RNAcentral.
CCUACGGGUGGCUGCAGUGAGGAAUAUUGGUCAAUGGACGCAAGUCUGAACCAGCCAUGCCGCGUGCAGGAAGACGGCGCGAUGAGUUGGAAACUGCGUUUGUAGGAGGGGAAAUCCCGAUACGUGUAUCGGGUUGAAAGUAUCGUACGAAUAAGGAUCGGCUAACUCCGUGCCAGCAGCCGCGGUAAUACGGAGGCUUCAAGCGUUAUCCGGAGUUAUUGGGUUUAAAGGGUGCGUAGGCGGUUCGUUAAGUUAGAGGUGAAACCCCGGGGCUCAACUCCGGCACUGCCUCUGAUACUGUCGGGCUAGAGUUUAGUUGCGGUAGGCGGAAUGUCUUGUGUAGCGGUGAAAUGCAUCGAGAUCAUUCAGCACACCGAUUGCGAAGGCAGCUUACCAAACUACGACUGACGUUGAGGCACGAAAGCGUGGGGAGCAAACAGGAUUAGAUACCCUGGUAGUC